GAGGGUACAGCUCAGUGGCAGAGUGCAUGCUUAGCAUGCAUGAGGUCCUGAGUUCAAUCCCCAGUACUUCUA
RNAcentral lists this transfer RNA (72 nucleotides) under Camelus ferus (Wild Bactrian camel). It matches the Rfam family "tRNA". Rfam says of the family: Transfer RNA (tRNA) molecules are approximately 80 nucleotides in length. Their secondary structure includes four short double-helical elements and three loops (D, anti-codon, and T loops). Lineage: Eukaryota; Metazoa; Chordata; Mammalia; Artiodactyla; Camelidae. The record is from Rfam by way of RNAcentral.